AGGGAUGUAGCUCAGUGGUAGAGCAUGUGCUUAGCAUGCACAAGGUCCUGGGUUCAAUCCCCAGUACCUCCA
Molecule: transfer RNA, 72 nt
Filed under: Camelus bactrianus (Bactrian camel)
Lineage: Eukaryota; Metazoa; Chordata; Mammalia; Artiodactyla; Camelidae
Also listed under: 2 other names
Rfam family: tRNA
About the family: Transfer RNA (tRNA) molecules are approximately 80 nucleotides in length. Their secondary structure includes four short double-helical elements and three loops (D, anti-codon, and T loops).
Source: Rfam by way of RNAcentral